Molecule: unclassified non-coding RNA, 237 nt
Filed under: plant metagenome
Description: partial contains small subunit ribosomal RNA, internal transcribed spacer 1, and 5.8S ribosomal RNA
Rfam family: 5.8S ribosomal RNA (bases 189-237)
Source: RNAcentral
UCUCCGUUGGUGAACCAGCGGAGGGAUCAUUAUCGAGUUUACAACUCCCAAACCAUUGUGAAUUUUACCUUUUCGUUGCUUCGGCAGGAUUGCCCCGGGCGCUUCGGUGCCCCGGAUUCAGGCGCCUGCCGGGGGACCUAAACUCUUGUAUUAUAGUGAAUUUCUGAGUGGAUUACACAAAUAAUCAAAACUUUCAACAACGGAUCUCUUGGUUCUGGCAUCGAUGAAGAACACAGC